Molecule: ribosomal RNA, 511 nt
Filed under: uncultured bacterium
Lineage: Bacteria
Description: bacterial SSU rRNA
Rfam family: Bacterial small subunit ribosomal RNA
Source: RNAcentral
ACGAACGCUGGCGGCGUGCUUAACACAUGCAAGUGGAGCGACGAACCAGGCUUCGGCCUGGGGCAAAGCCGCGAACGGGUGAGUAUCACGUGGGUAACCUGCCCCGAUGACCGGGACAACUCGAGGAAACUCGGGCUAAUACCGGAUGUGCUCUCUGCACAUCAGUGCGAUGAGUAAAGGAAGCUUCGGCCUCCGCAUUGGGAUGGGCCCGCGGCCCAUUAGCUUGUUGGUGAGGUAAGAGCUCACCAAGGCGACGAUGGGUAGCUGGUCUGAGAGGACGAUCAGCCACACUGGGACUGAGACACGGCCCAGACUCCUACGGGAGGCAGCAGUGGGGAAUCUUGCGCAAUGCGCGAAAGCGUGACGCAGCAACGCCGCGUGAGGGAAGAAGGCCUUCGGGUUGUAAACCUCUUUCAGGAGGGACGAAGGUUCAGGCGCGAACAGCGACCUGGACUGACGGUACCUCCAGAAGAAGCCCCGGCUAACUACGUGCCAGCAGCCGCAGUAAAAC